UGGGGAAUCUUGGACAAUGGGCGCAAGCCUGAUCCAGCCAUGCCGCGUGGAUGAUGAAGGCCUUAGGGUUGUAAAAUCCUUUCGCCGAGGACGAUAAUGACGGUACUCGGAGAAGAAGCUCCGGCUAACUUCGUGCCAGCAGCCGCGGUAAUACGUAGGGACCAAGCGUUGUUCGGAUUUACUGGGCGUAAAGGGCGCGUAGGCGGUGUGUCAAGUCAGUUGUGAAAUCUCCGAGCUUAACUCGGAACGGUCAACUGAUACUGUCACACUAGAGUACAGAAGGGGCAAUCGGAAUUCUUGGUGUAGCGGUGAAAUGCGUAGAUAUCAAGAGGAACACCUGAGGCGAAGGCGGGUUGCUGGGCUGAUACUGACGCUGAGGCGCGAAAGCUAGGGUAGCAAACGGGAUUAGAUACCCCAGUAGUCCCUGAGCGGGCUGGCAAGGCGCAU
Molecule: ribosomal RNA, 447 nt
Filed under: uncultured bacterium
Lineage: Bacteria
Description: bacterial SSU rRNA
Rfam family: Bacterial small subunit ribosomal RNA
Source: RNAcentral